UACGGGGGGGGCAAGCGUUGUUCGGAAUUACUGGGCGUAAAGGGCUCGUAGGCGGCCAACUAAGUCGGAUGUGAAAUCCCCAGGCUUAACCUGGGAACUGCAUCCGAUACUGGAUGGCUUGAAUCCGGGAGAGGGAUGCAGAAUUCCAGGUGUAGCGGUGAAAUGCGUAGAUAUCUGGAGGAAUACCGGUGGCGAAGGCGGCAUCCUGGACCGGCAUUGACGCUGAUGAGCGAAAGCUGGGGGAGCAAACGGG
RNAcentral lists this ribosomal RNA (253 nucleotides) under uncultured bacterium. Its description in RNAcentral is "partial 16S ribosomal RNA". It matches the Rfam family "Bacterial small subunit ribosomal RNA", at positions 524 to 776 of the family's 1533-position model. The record is from RNAcentral.